Molecule: unclassified non-coding RNA, 933 nt
Filed under: Hevea brasiliensis (rubber tree)
Lineage: Eukaryota; Viridiplantae; Streptophyta; Magnoliopsida; Malpighiales; Euphorbiaceae
Source: RNAcentral
UCUAAGGAAGAUAACUAGAAAGUCGGUAUCGUAUUACAUCUUUCUUCCUCUUUUCUUUUUUUUAUCCUUUUGUAAAAUGCUGUUGCAUUUUUCUUUUUAAGUUUGUGCUUCUCAAUUUUGGAUAUUAAUUAUUAGUUUGUUGUUUGUUUUAAUGCAUAUGGAUAUCCAAUAAUGUACGGUUCUGACAUUUCGUUGUCCUACUUUUUAUGCUUCAUGGGUUUAUCAUCUGACAUUCUUUCUGUUUUUAUAUUGCUUCCAUUCUGCAUUAUUUCAGGUCAUCAAAACCAGAUUUAAACUCAAAGUUGUCAAGGAGUGCUCCAGUGCGCGUGUCUUCAAGGAAAAAGAGAGAAUUGAAAAUCAUAACAAAGUUGGUAUCUUAUUUAUAUCUUUGUCUGGCUAGUUGUAGCAUAUUUGUGGCUUAAGUUUUGUAUUCCAUUUUGUGCUAUAAUUAAUCUUUCUUCUCCUUUGUUCUAAAACCAUAUGGAAGACACGUUGAUAUAUGUUAAAUGGUGUUUUCUUGUGCAUUUGGUUGUGAUACAUUGUUAGAGAUAGCAUUUUAAGAAUUCAAAUUUGUUGAUUCAGGUCGUCAGAACCAGAAAUCAUCUUAAAAUCCUCUAAAAAUGCUUCUCUGCAUCUUUUCUCACGGAAAAGGAGGCAAAAGAAGAUAACACUGAGGACAUCAAAACCAGCAACAGUAACAAAGUCCUUGAAAAUUGCAUCAGCAGGUGUCUCUUCACAAAAUAAGUGCCAGUGGAGAAUAACAACAAAGUUGGUUCUUUAUUCCCCGUCCCUCCUCCCCCUCCCCCAGAACCUUGCCCUUUCCUCUGAUUUCUUCCUAUUGUAGCAUGAUUUAAUUAUUACUUUCUGUUUUAGAAAGUAAUCUUGUGUUUUCUACCUUAUUUUCUCAAGAGAUCAGAGGUUGCACAAAUUGGU